Molecule: ribosomal RNA, 470 nt
Filed under: uncultured Anaerolineaceae bacterium
Lineage: Bacteria; Bacillati; Chloroflexota; Anaerolineae; Anaerolineales; Anaerolineaceae
Description: bacterial SSU rRNA
Rfam family: Bacterial small subunit ribosomal RNA
Source: RNAcentral
AAACUCAAAUGAAUUGACGGGGGCCCGCACAAGCAGCGGAGCGUGUGGUUUAAUUCGAUGCUACACGAAGAACCUUACCCGGGUUUGACAUACAGGUGGUAGGGAACUGAAAAGGGACCGACCUUCGGGAGCCUGAACAGGUGCUGCAUGGCUGUCGUCAGCUCGUGUCGUGAGAUGUCCGGUUAAGUCCGGUAACGAGCGCAACCCUUGCCGUAUGUUACAAGUGUCAUACGGGACUGCCGGUAUCAAGCCGGAGGAAGGUGGGGAUGACGUCAAGUCAGCAUGGCCUUUAUAUCCGGGGCUACACACACGCUACAAUGGUCAGUACAACAGGUUGCAAAGCCGCGAGGUGGAGCCAAUCCAUAAAGCUGGCCUCAGUUCAGAUUGCAGGCUGCAACUCGCCUGCAUGAAGUUGGAGUUGCUAGUAACCGCGCGUCAGCUAUAGUGCGGUGAAUACGUUCCCGGGCCUU